Molecule: ribosomal RNA, 253 nt
Filed under: uncultured bacterium
Lineage: Bacteria
Description: partial 16S ribosomal RNA
Rfam family: Bacterial small subunit ribosomal RNA
Source: RNAcentral
UACGUAGGGUGCGAGCGUUAAUCGGAAUUACUGGGCGUAAAGCGUGCGCAGGCGGUUCGUUAUGUCCGUUGUGAAAGCCCCGGGCUCAACCUGGGAAUGGCAAUGGAAACUGGCGGGCUAGAGUGUGGCAGAGGGGGGUGGAAUUCCGCGUGUAGCAGUGAAAUGCGUAGAUAUGCGGAGGAACACCGAUGGCGAAGGCAAUCCCCUGGGCCUGCACUGACGCUCAUGCACGAAAGCGUGGGGAGCAAACAGG